AAAAGUUUGCAUUGUUUGGGAGGAAUUUUAGCGGAUGACCAGGGCCUUGGAAAGACAGUUUCUAUGAUUUCACUCAUUCAAUUGCAGAAGUCCUCACAAUCAAAGGCAAAACUGGAAGAUGGAAGCAAAACAAAAGCUGAAGCUUUGAAUUUGGAUGACGACGAUGAUAAUGGCACUGGCACUGGUACUGGCACUGCUGAUUCAGAUAAAAUGCAGCAGCCUGGAG
RNAcentral lists this unclassified non-coding RNA (226 nucleotides) under Hevea brasiliensis (rubber tree). The record is from RNAcentral. Lineage: Eukaryota; Viridiplantae; Streptophyta; Magnoliopsida; Malpighiales; Euphorbiaceae.